UCUUUCUAGAGUCUCAACAUCUUUUUUGUAUCUUGGUGACCAAAACUGGACUCAGUACUCCAAGUGUGGUCUUACCAGUGUCAUAUAAAGUGUACUAACUCUUCUCAUGAUCUUAACACUUCUAUUGAUGUGGCCUACAACCCACAUUGGCCCUUUUGGCAGCUGUAGCACAUGGCUGGCUCAUACUGAAAUGGUUGUUCACUAGGACUCUUAGAUUCCUCUCACAGUUACUGUUGUUGAGCCAGGCACCACCUAUUUUACACCUGUGCACUUGUUUUUUUCUUGUCUAAGUGUAAAAUCUUACAGGAAAGACUAUUUAGGAUCCAAGACUCUAACUAAUACAGGAAUCUAAAUUAAAGGACACGUUCCCAAUAGAAUAAAUUGCUAUCUAGUUUCCUUUUAUUUUUCUUCUGUUUCCAUUUAAAUGUCAUGAAACAAUGAUAUGAUGCCCGCAAAACUCAUUGCCAAAUAUUGAAAUAGGCACUUUCUCAUACUUUUAAAUCAUUUUGGCCCAAACUGAUGAAGAAUGGAAGCAGAAAUAAACAAAUACAGCUUCAUACUAACUGUUAAAAUAUAUAGGAUUUAAAUUAUUGACAUUCAUAGCCAAGCAACAUUAUUUGUCAUAUAUAUAUAUGUCAUAUAUACACACAUACACACAAACACACACACACACACACCUGCUUGUGUUUUGAAUUUGCAGUUUUAUCGUUUUGUUUUAUUUUAUUGCAAAUGCUCCUUCUCUUCCCUGUCGCGGCCAAGAAGAUUAGCAUCUUAACAGCGGCCUAAAAUUAUGCCUAAAUAUUACAUCAAGGUCAUUUUAGCCAUACUGAAAACUUUCUUUCCUAAAAGAGGACCGAAAUACAAAGCUCUGAUGACCUCAUGGAAAAGAUGACCGGGAGGAAAACAAAAUAUUUGGAAGAAAAAGAAUUUCAAAAUCCAGACAGCUGCAGCAGAAAAGCUUUGUCUCACUGCUCAUAUCUGGUGUGUAAUCACCCACCCGGUGUUUGCAUAAGGGUUCAGCCCAGAUUGAAGAAGGAUGGUCCUGUUUAGACAAACAACUUCACAAAGCCAAACAUGCUGAUUUUUUUUUU
Molecule: long non-coding RNA, 1091 nt
Organism: Crotalus tigris (Tiger rattlesnake)
Lineage: Eukaryota; Metazoa; Chordata; Lepidosauria; Squamata; Viperidae
Exons: 2
Source: RefSeq, a predicted model, not a curated record